RNAcentral lists this ribosomal RNA (596 nucleotides) under Agromyces sp. CATR-150. Its description in RNAcentral is "bacterial SSU rRNA". It matches the Rfam family "Bacterial small subunit ribosomal RNA", at positions 273 to 873 of the family's 1533-position model. The record is from RNAcentral. Lineage: Bacteria; Bacillati; Actinomycetota; Actinomycetes; Micrococcales; Microbacteriaceae.
GCGUCGACGGGUAGCCGGCCUGAGAGGGUGACCGGCCACACUGGGACUGAGACGCGGCCCAGACUCCUACGGGAGGCAGCAGUGGGGAAUAUUGCACAAUGGGCGCAAGCCUGAUGCAGCAACGCCGCGUGCGGGAUGACGGCCUUCGGGUUGUAAACCGCUUUUAGUAAGGAAGAAGGGGCUUCGGCCUUGACGGUACUUGCAGAAAAAGGACCGGCUAACUACGUGCCAGCAGCCGCGGUAAUACGUAGGGUCCGAGCGUUGUCCGGAAUUAUUGGGCGUAAAGAGCUCGUAGGCGGUUUGUCGCGUCUGCUGUGAAAACUAGAGGCUCAACCUCUAGCCUGCAGUGGGUACGGGCAGACUUGAGUGGUGUAGGGGAGACUGGAAUUCCUGGUGUAGCGGUGGAAUGCGCAGAUAUCAGGAGGAACACCGAUGGCGAAGGCAGGUCUCUGGGCACUUACUGACGCUGAGGAGCGAAAGCGUGGGGAGCGAACAGGAUUAGAUACCCUGGUAGUCCACGCCGUAAACGUUGGGCGCUAGAUGUGGGGACCUUUCCACGGUUUCCGUGUCGUAGCUAACGCAUUAAGCGCCCCGCC